GAUGAACGCUGGCGGCGUGCCUAAUACAUGCAAGUCGAGCGAACAGACGAGGAGCUUGCUCCUCUGACGUUAGCGGCGGACGGGUGAGUAACACGUGGAUAACCUACCUAUAAGACUGGGAUAACUUCGGGAAACCGGAGCUAAUACCGGAUAAUAUAUUGAACCGCAUGGUUCAAUAGUGAAAGACGGUUUUGCUGUCACUUAUAGAUGGAUCCGCGCCGCAUUAGCUAGUUGGUAAGGUAACGGCUUACCAAGGCAACGAUGCGUAGCCGACCUGAGAGGGUGAUCGGCCACCCUGGAACGGAGACACGGUCCAGACUCCUACGGGAGGCAGCAGUAGGGAAUCUUCCGCAAUGGGCGAAAGCCUGACGGAGCAACGCUGCGUGAGUGAUGAAGGUCUUCGGAUCGUAAAACUCUGUUAUUAGGGAAGAACAAAUGUGUAAGUAACUAUGCACGUCUUGACGGUACCUAAUCAGAAAGCCACGGCUAACUACGUG
This 497-nucleotide ribosomal RNA is filed under the name uncultured bacterium. RNAcentral's name for it is "partial 16S ribosomal RNA". It matches the Rfam family "Bacterial small subunit ribosomal RNA", at positions 28 to 507 of the family's 1533-position model. The record is from RNAcentral.